Non-coding RNA from Rattus norvegicus (Norway rat), 827 nucleotides. NCBI's taxonomy places the organism in Eukaryota, Metazoa, Chordata, Mammalia, Rodentia, Muridae. The record is from RefSeq and is a predicted model, not a curated record.
GGAUGGGAUGGGGCAUUUGUGGAGUGGAGCCUGGGAAGAGGACAACAUUUGAAAUUCCAGCCAUUGGUCCUUCUUCCCAAUGCGUCCAUCCACAGUUGCUCAUCCCAUUCUUCCUCUCACCAAUGUCCAAGAGGAUGUCUCCUGCUCCUCCCUCUGUGCCAGGCUUGCCCACUCCCUGGUGGCUCCAAUCUCUAAAGAGUUAGCUUCAUCGUCUCCCUCUGAGGACAGACCCAGCAGUCCUCUGCUCUCUUCAUGUCCAGGGGCCUUAGACCAACUCAUGCUUGCUACCUGGUUGGUGGCUCAGUGUCUGAGAGAUGUCAGAGGUCCAGUUUGCAGCAUCAAGAACAGCCCCUAGUUUGAAGAACCUGCAUGAGCAACAGUGACCAUGGCAACUACUCACUCAACUUUGAAUCAUCAGAUGUCUAGAAUCUUUGGGAGAUGAUGUUUUGAGGCGAGGGAAGACACUGGAUGCUUGCUUUUGAGAUUAUGACAGACAAAAGCCUAGCAUGGCUGUCCUCAGGGAGGCCCAACAAGCAGCUGACUCAGACAGAACCAGAACCACCCAACCAAUGGACUGAAGUAGGUGACUCUUGUGGUUGAAUUACAGAAAGGCCGGAAGAAGAUGAGGAGGAGGGGAACCCUAUAGGAAGACCAACAGUCUCAAGUAACCCAGAUCUCUGAAAUCUCUCAAACACUAAGCCACCAACAGGGAAACAAACACUAGCUGAUCCAAAGCUCCUGACACAUACACAGCAGAGGACUUCCUGGUCUGUCCUCAGUGAGAGAAGAUGUGCUUAACCCUUUAGAUAAUUGACACCCCGUGGAGU